This 497-nucleotide ribosomal RNA is filed under the name uncultured bacterium. RNAcentral's name for it is "partial 16S ribosomal RNA". It matches the Rfam family "Bacterial small subunit ribosomal RNA", at positions 28 to 507 of the family's 1533-position model. The record is from RNAcentral.
GAUGAACGCUGGCGGCGUGCCUAAUACAUGCAAGUCGAGCGAACAGACGAGGAGCUUGCUCCUCUGACGUUAGCGGCGGACGGGUGAGUAACACGUGGAUAACCUACCUAUAAGACUGGGAUAACUUCGGGAAACCGGAGCUAAUACCGGAUAAUAUAUUGAACCGCAUGGUUCAAUAGUGAAAGACGGUUUUGCUGUCACUUAUAGAUGGAUCCGCGCCGCAUUAGCUAGUUGGUAAGGUAACGGCUUACCAAGGCAACGAUGCGUAGCCGACCUGAGAGGGUGAUCGGCCACACUGGAACUGAGACACGGUCCAGACUCCUACGGUAGGACGCAGUAGGGAAUCUUCCGCAAUGGGCGAAAGCCUGACGGAGCAACGCCGCGUGAGUGAUGAAGGUCUUCGGAUCGUAAAACUCUGUUAGUAGGGAAGAACAAAUGUGUAAGUAACUAUGCACGUCUUGACGGUACCUAAUCAGAAAGCCACGGCUAACUACGUG